GUGAGGAAUAUUGGUCAAUGGGCGAGAGCCUGAACCAGCCAAAUCGCGUGAAGGAUGAAGGUAUUAUGUAUUGUAAACUUCUUUUAUCGGGGAAUAAAGUGCGGGACGUGUCCCGUUUUGUAUGUACCCGAAGAAUAAGGAUCGGCUAACUCCGUGCCAGCAGCCGCGGUAAUACGGAGGAUCCAAGCGUUAUCCGGAUUUAUUGGGUUUAAAGGGUGCGUAGGCGGACUGUCAAUUCAGCGGUGAAAGUCCAUGGCUCAACCAUGGAAUUGCCGUUGAAACUGUCGGUCUUGAGUGUAGAUGAGGUAGGCGGAAUUCGUAGUGUAGCGGUGAAAUGCUUAGAUAUUACGAAGAACUCCAAUUGCGUAGGCAGCUUACCAGGCUACAACUGACGCUGAGGCACGAAGGUGCGGGGAUCAAACAGGAUUAGAAACCCUGGUAGUCC
RNAcentral lists this ribosomal RNA (445 nucleotides) under uncultured bacterium. RNAcentral's name for it is "partial 16S ribosomal RNA". It matches the Rfam family "Bacterial small subunit ribosomal RNA", at positions 354 to 796 of the family's 1533-position model. The record is from RNAcentral.